GACGGAGUCCCAUCGGUUGUUGCCGACAGAAAGACUUCAUUCGGCAUCGUCACUACAUAUACAUUAGCGGAAAUUGCAGAAAUCUCGCCACUCAGAGUUGCUCACGUACAAGUUGACUACAAACGAAGUGCAGGGUGUUCACAACUGUAACAUUCAUUAAUAGACCGUCGAGUCGCGCGUACCUACCACGAUUACACCUGCGUCCAACCACGCUCGA
Priapulus caudatus is the source of this 217-nucleotide long non-coding RNA. RefSeq lists it as uncharacterized. Lineage: Eukaryota; Metazoa; Priapulida; Priapulimorpha; Priapulimorphida; Priapulidae. The transcript has 3 exons. The record is from RefSeq and is a predicted model, not a curated record.